This 497-nucleotide ribosomal RNA is filed under the name uncultured bacterium. Its description in RNAcentral is "partial 16S ribosomal RNA". It matches the Rfam family "Bacterial small subunit ribosomal RNA", at positions 28 to 507 of the family's 1533-position model. The record is from RNAcentral.
GAUGAACGCUGGCGGCGUGCCUAAUACAUGCAAGUCGAGCGAACAGACGAGGAGCUUGCUCCUCUGACGUUAGCGGCUGACGGGUGAGUAACACGUGGAUAACCUACCUAUAAGACUGGGAUAACUUCGGGAAACCGGAGCUAAUACCGGAUAAUAUAUUGAACCGCAUGGUUCAAUAGUGAAAGACGGUUUUGCUGUCACUUAUAGAUGGAUCCGCGCCGCAUUAGCUAGUUGGUAAGGUAACGGCUUACCAAGGCAACGAUGCGUAGCCGACCUGAGAGGGUGAUCGGCCACACUGGAACUGAGACACGGUCCAGACUCCUACGGGAGGCAGCAGUAGGGAAUAUUCCGCAAUGGGCGAAAGCCUGACGGAGCAACGCCGCGUGAGUGAUGAAGGUCUUCGGAUCGUAAAACUCUGUUAUUAGGGAAGAACAAAUGUGUAAGUAACUAUGCACGUCUUGACGGUACCUAAUCAGAAAGCCACGGCUAACUACGUG